CCAUGUGGAAAAGCAAUACAUUUUUGCAUACUUAAAAAAAAAGUAUAAAGGAAAUACUUUAAAAAGAAUGAACUGAAUGAUUUUAGAUGCUUAAUUGCAUGUUGAUUUCAAUUACAUGAAAAUUGUUUAUAAUUUAAAAGUACAUUAAAUGUAAUUAGCUGACCCAGCAGGAAUGGCCCUUUAUAUGUAAUUUCAUAAUUUCUUGAAGUUGUUUAAAACACAAAAUACAUUUACUUAAAUAUAUUUGAGAGUCUGUGGCUACUGCUCUAGUGGGAAUAAUUUUGCAUACCUCGUUUCUUAAACCUACUAUAGUGAACAUAUAGAAACUAGAGAUUAUGGUUUAUAAAGUUUUAAAUAUGGAUAUUUUUUCCUACACAAACACAUCGCUUCACUUCAGAAGGCCUUCAUUAACCCCCUGGAGCUUUGUGGAGCACUUCUUAUGAUGGAUUGGAUGCACUUUUUUGGGCUUCAAAAUCUCAAUCCCCAUUCACUGCAAUUAUAGAGCUUGGAAGAGCGAAAUUUUUUUUAAUAUAACUCUGAUUGUAUUUGUCUGAAAGAAGAAAGUCAAACAAUUUAAUAUGGAUUUUAGUUUUUUUUAAAAAUGGGAACUUGUUCUUAAAUUAAGUCUCAGUAGUUUGCACAUGGUGAAUUUGUUGGUGUGUCUCUUUAGACACUGGGCUGCCCUGUCAGACCUGGUGAGCUCUUUACUCAACUCUAUGAAGCCUAUGGUACUCUAUGGAGCCAUUUGCUCCCUGCUGCUGCUGCUCUUCCUCUUCCUUAUCAUCUUCGCUCUCCUGGGCAUGCAGCUCUUCGGCGGAAAGUUCAACUUUGAUGAGACUCAAAUGAAAAGAAGCACCUUUGACACUUUUCCAUCUGCCCUGCUCACCUGUUUCCAGUAAUUGGCGUGGAGAGGGUAUAACACGCCAGGAGAGAUGGAAGCAAGUGAGAGAGAGUGGGACUGCUGACGGAAGCCGGAAACGGAAACCGGAAGACGGAAAGCGAAAGCACCGCGUGAACUAGCAAAAUAGAAGUCACCUUCGGGUGUUAGAAACCUUUGAUUUGUCUUAUGUUAAAUAAAUAUACGUCAGCAGUCCAGCCGACCCCUUUGUCCUCUUCCUUACCCACACGAACUCACAACACUGGUGCCGAAACCCAGGAGGAAGAAGGACCGUUGCCGCCGCCAUGCAAAGCCCGUCCUCCACGCCGCUUGCGGACAUCAUUUCUUCCCUCGCGGUCCUCCACCGCGAGCAACACCAGGCGCUGCUAGACCUGAGGACCGAUCAGGAGCGAGGGUUCCAGGCCAUCGUCAAGGCCCAGCAGGAGGACCGCGAGAGGUUCCGGGGCUGGAUUGAUCGGGAGGUUCGCGCCGGUGUGCGCCUCAUUCCCCUGCUCUCCGGCGAGGCCCAGGUGGUUGCACAACAACUUCCGGUGGCGAACCUCCUGGUCUUCAACGACCUGAAGAGGGCUAUCAUCCAAGCGGGUCGGCCGAUCGCCAGAACAACACCGCCAGCGCUUCCGCUCCCUGGACUUGGGCGAGGCCGGCCGGCCCUUCGCGAUGGCCCAACAGCUCCGGGACUCCUGCCGCAAGUGGCUACUGGCCGAGGGAAGCGACGUGGAGCAUGUCGUCGACCUGGUGGUGCUGGAGCAGUUCAUAACUCGGCUCCCCAAGAAGACCUGGGGUCUGGACCUGGCGGAGGACCACAUGGUGGCGUGCCCAGGGGUCGGCACACCCCCGCCUACUAACUCUCUCUCCCCUUCUCUCUCUCCCCCUUCUUUCUCUCGCCCUGUCCCUCUCCUUAGGUCCCGUCCACCUGGCCCUCCUCGUGUCCUGCCCCGGGGGCGGAGCGGGACGGACCAAGGCCGCUUCGCGAGUACCAGGGCCCCGCCCAGGGGGGCAGGCCUUGGGGCUGCUGGAGGGGACAGUGCUUCAAUUUCUCCGCUCUCUCCGCGCCAAUUCCCCUCUCCACUCCCUGCCAUUGGGGUGGCGGGUAGGUCUGGGCUGGCCUGUUGGCGUUGCGGGGACCCGGAGCAUUUUGUGGACAGGUGUCCAGUGAUGGAAGUGGUAUCAAGUACCACUGAGUAUCAAGGGGGGUACAUAUCCGGCCUUCGUGGAUUCAGGAUGCAACCAAACCUCAAUCCAUCAAAGCCUGGUUCAACCGGGGGCAUUGGAUACCAGCCGCGUGGUUAAGACAGACGCGUCGGACAGGGGGCUGGGGGCGGUCCUGUCCCAGGAGAUAGAGGGGGAGGAACAACCGGUGCUGUACAUUAGCCGCAAGCUCUACUUUUUGUGUUUUUAUUGAGAGGGAAGAGAGCAGUGCAUCUCCAUACAUUAGAAUUUUUCUCAAAUUCACUUUAGUAAUUCAACUUAAAUGGUAAAACUCAUAUUAAUAAAUUCAAUGCGCAGACUGAA
Molecule: long non-coding RNA, 2410 nt
Organism: Carassius gibelio (silver crucian carp)
Lineage: Eukaryota; Metazoa; Chordata; Actinopteri; Cypriniformes; Cyprinidae
Exons: 3
Source: RefSeq, a predicted model, not a curated record